RNAcentral lists this ribosomal RNA (422 nucleotides) under uncultured soil bacterium. RNAcentral describes it as "bacterial SSU rRNA". It matches the Rfam family "Bacterial small subunit ribosomal RNA", at positions 26 to 442 of the family's 1533-position model. The record is from RNAcentral.
AGGACGAACGCUGGCGGCGUGCUUAACACAUGCAAGUCGAGCGGUAAGGCCUUUCGGGGUACACGAGCGGCGAACGGGUGAGUAACACGUGGGUGAUCUGCCCUGCACUUCGGGAUAAGCCUGGGAAACUGGGUCUAAUACCGGAUAUGACCUCCUAUCGCAUGGUGGGUGGUGGAAAGAUUUAUCGGUGCAGGAUGGGCCCGCGGCCUAUCAGCUUGGUUGGUGGGUAAUGGCCUACCGAAGGCGACGACGGGUAGCCGACCUGAGAGGGUGACCGGCCACACUGGGACUGAGACACGGCCCAGACUCCGUACGGGAGGCAGCAGUAGGGAAUAGUUGGACAAGUGGGACGAAAGCCCUAGAUCCGAGCAAUGACCGCGUGAGUGAUGGAAGGCCUUAGGGUUGUAAAGGUCUACGUUUUA